RNAcentral lists this ribosomal RNA (356 nucleotides) under uncultured organism. RNAcentral describes it as "bacterial SSU rRNA". It matches the Rfam family "Bacterial small subunit ribosomal RNA", at positions 45 to 433 of the family's 1533-position model. The record is from RNAcentral.
GGCUUAACACAUGCAAGUCGAGCGCCCCGCAAGGGGAGCGGCAGACGGGUGAGUAACACGUGGGAACGUGCCUUUUGGUUCGGAACAACCCAGGGAAACUUGGGCUAAUACCGGAUAAGCCCUAACGGGGAAAGAUUUAUCGCCAAAAGAUCGGCCCGCGUCUGAUUAGCUAGCUGGUGGGGUAAUGGCCCACCAAGGCUACGAUCAGUACCUGGUCUGAGAGGAUGAUCAGCCACAUUGGGACUGAGACACGGCCCAAACUCCUACGGGAGGCAGCAGUGGGGAAUAUUGGUCAAUGGGGGCAACCCUGAUCCAGCCAUGCCGCGUGACUGCUAAGCCUUAGGGUUGUAAAGCUC